UACACACCGCCCGUCACACCAUGGGAGUGGGUUCCACCAGAAGUAGUUAGCCUAACCGCAGAGGCGACUACCACGGUGAGAUUACAUGACUGGGGUG
RNAcentral lists this ribosomal RNA (97 nucleotides) under uncultured bacterium. Its description in RNAcentral is "partial 16S ribosomal RNA". The record is from RNAcentral.